UACGGGAGGCAGCAGUGGGGAAUCUGCGCAAUGGGCGAAAGCCUGACGCAGCGACGCCGCGUGGGUGACGAAGGCCUUCGGGUUGUAAAGCCCUGUGGGGUAGAACGAACUGGCAUCGGGCUAAUAUCCCGGUGUCUUGACGGUACUGCCUUAGCAAGCAUCGGCUAACUCUGUGCCAGCAGCCGCGGUAAGACAGAGGAUGCGAACGUUGCUCGGAUUUACUGGGCGUAAAGCGCGUUUAGGCGGUCUCGUUAGUCGGGUGUGAAAGCCCCGGGCUCAACCCGGGAAGUGCACCCGAUACUGCGAGACUGGGGUACUGAAGAGGAGAGCGGAAUUCCCGGUGUAGAGGUGAAAUUCGUAGAUAUCGGGAGGAACACCAGUGGCGAAGGCGGCUCUCUGGGCAGAUACCCGACGCUGAGACGCGAAAAGCGUGGGGAGCAAACAGGAUUAGAUACCCUGGUAGUCCACGCUGUAAACGAUGACGACUGGGUGUUGCAGGUAUUGACCCCUGCGGUGCCGAAGCC
RNAcentral lists this ribosomal RNA (524 nucleotides) under uncultured bacterium. Its description in RNAcentral is "bacterial SSU rRNA". It matches the Rfam family "Bacterial small subunit ribosomal RNA", at positions 340 to 853 of the family's 1533-position model. The record is from RNAcentral.